CAUCUCGUGAGCUGUCCUGGAAGUCCAGUGCAGUCCACUGGAGAAGAAUGGAGGGAAGCUUCUGGCCAACAGCCCAUGAGGAACUGAGGUCUCUCAGUAGUGAUAGAAAUGACCUUAGAAGUGGACCCUUCCACCCCAUUGGAGCUAGGAGGCACAAGGAGACAAGAAGGCCAUAAUAAAAAGGACCCACCCUGGUGAUAUCUGGGGGCUGCUGAAUAAACAGAAAAGGAGAAGAUGCUACUUUACUCUGGGCCAGAAUCAAGAGUCCCAGGUGCAAUGGUUUCUAUGCUUUUUGGUUCAUGGUGAUGCUUCUGCUCCAGGCCAUUGGUAGCUGGCACAAGGCAGAAACUAA
Molecule: long non-coding RNA, 352 nt
Organism: Mustela erminea (ermine)
Lineage: Eukaryota; Metazoa; Chordata; Mammalia; Carnivora; Mustelidae
Exons: 3
Source: RefSeq, a predicted model, not a curated record